UGCCUGAUGGACGUGGCUCUCGUCACGA
This 28-nucleotide non-coding RNA is filed under the name Homo sapiens (human). The record is from RNAcentral. Lineage: Eukaryota; Metazoa; Chordata; Mammalia; Primates; Hominidae.